AUGUUUUUCUCCCCAGGAGAUGGAAGCAAGGCCACGUCUAAGUACAGCGGAAAGUGUAGCUGUGGGUUUUGGGCUGCAGAAGAGAGGAUGGGACUGGGACUGGUUAGGGAGCUGCAGCCUGGGUCAGCCAGUCUGGACUCAGGGACUCUCAAGGAUAGUAACACUUAGAGAAACCAAGUGUCUCUCCCUUCAACACCACAGCCUUGCUACGCUGCUAGUGACCAGGAACUCAUUCCCACAGCAGGAUGGAACAUUGUCUUUUGUGCUUUUCUUUACUUUCCCCUCUGCAUCUCAAUUCUGUAUGCAGUGACAGGACGGCAUUGUCCUAGGCCCCAGGAAAUCUCUCCAGACCUCCAAAUACUGAAUCCACAUGGAUAAAUCGUGUCCUCUGUGAGCUUGUAGAGAGAUCGCCUUUUUUACUGUCUUAUGCCUAUGUAUGCAUUGCUUGGCAAGCAUGCAAUGAAAACCGAAAAUCAGAUGAAUCGUGGGAAAGGAAUCUGCUGUAACCCAAGCAUGUUGAUCAAAACAAAAGCCCAUUAGUUCUCUUCCCCCUUGACAACCAAACUCCUUUUCCUGUGUAUGUUACAUUAAAAAACAUCAUUAAGUAGCUAGGUAUGGUAGUGCAUACCUAUAAUUUUAGGACUCAGAAGGCUGAUGUAGGCUGAUCUUGAGUUUGUGCCCCGCCUGGCUACAUAGCAACUUCCAGAACAGUCUCAAUUAUGUAUAGAGAUUGUCUAAAAGCUAAAACAAAUUCUAAUCAAUGGGUAUAGUUGGAAUUCAUCUAAAUAAAUCAAUGUGUUGAUUUAUUAAUGAA
This 814-nucleotide long non-coding RNA is filed under the name Rattus norvegicus (Norway rat). RNAcentral describes it as "long non-coding RNA NONRATT020348". Lineage: Eukaryota; Metazoa; Chordata; Mammalia; Rodentia; Muridae. The record is from RNAcentral.